UUAGAUUUACCUUUUAAGGUUGAUUCUGAUCGAUCUCCUUUGGAUCUUGGUUUUCUGAAGUUAUUAUUCCUUUUUCUCCAGAGUUGUUUUACUCUUCUGGUCAGAAGGGAUAAUUCUUCCUCAUCGUCAGAAUCUUCCUUUUCAGAGUCAUCAACAUCUUCUUCUUCGGCCUGGAAGGCUUUGUUUCUGUCAGACUUGUGCCUUUCAGAUCUGGACUUUAGUGCUACAUACUUGAUUUUCUUUUGAGGCUCA
RNAcentral lists this long non-coding RNA (252 nucleotides) under Lathyrus oleraceus (garden pea). Its description in RNAcentral is "Pisum sativum (pea) long non-coding RNA (PSAT_LNC033413)". The record is from RNAcentral. Lineage: Eukaryota; Viridiplantae; Streptophyta; Magnoliopsida; Fabales; Fabaceae.